CACCGCUUGUCUCGACACCAUAGAGGGGCUUGAGAAGAUGCCCUUUGAAGAGGUGGUAUCGUCUCUGUGCCCGGCAGCCAGCCCUAGGUGCUGACCCGUCCCCGGGGCGAGGGACGGGACGGCGGUUCGAGGCUGCCCAUCCUUCACUUUGCCGGGAGGAACCUUCUGUGAAGGACGGACCUCGUGGAGACGGAUCUGCGGGAGACCGGAGAGAUACCGCCUGUCUUCAAAGAGCAUCUCCGCGGCCUCCUUCCCAAUAGUGUUAACUCUGCAUUUUUACGGCGUAGCAUAAUCAUUGAUCCUCUCACGCCCGGCGGUCGCUUCCUGAGGCCUGGGAGAGGCUGCGCGAAGCUGUGAAUGUCUGAGACCCGGGAGCUCGAGGGACCUCGCCGCCCCCCGAGGUCUCGCUAGCCUCCGUCACGGUCGAGGCCGGGUUGCGGCGGGGGGGACCGCAGAAGUCCCUCGGGCUCUGUUUUCAUAAAAGGUGCUAAUUCUUGGGAUGGGUGGGAGAUGGCGGCGGGGGAGAAGACGCCCGCCCGCCGCCUCCCGCCCGUUCCGACUUUUUAAUCUCUGUUACGGAACGAGGACGGGGAGAGGAAAUCCCAGAUUCCCCCCGGGGGGUGGGGUAGGAUUGGGGUCUCAAUCCUAGAGCUUGGCUGGUCUGGGCCCGCGAUGAGUUGGCGGGUUUUAUCACUAACAGCACAAGUUUCAUCAAAUCUACGGACGAAGCGAAUGAUUUCCGUCACCCUGGGGCGAUGGUUUGUUUUUUUUUUUUAAAAAAAAAAAACUUUGACUUAAAAAUUAAAAAAAAAAAAACUGCCCAAAAACGCUUCAUGUCGUGAAUCAUGAAAUCCACCAGUUCUCGACAUCCUCCAGGAUGGUACAGCAGAGCUGCGUUGUAAAGACUCUUUUUUUUUUUUUUUUAAAGAAGCAUGUGUUCAGGUUUCCGUGAAGACUUUGUUUAAAUGUAAAGUAAGCGUUGGAUUUUAACUUCAUACCGAGCUCCGUCCGUUUUUUUUUUGUCUUAAUAAAAAUUUAGAUUUAUAAUCCCCGA
Long non-coding RNA from Tachyglossus aculeatus (Australian echidna), 1054 nucleotides. RefSeq lists it as uncharacterized. The record is from RefSeq and is a predicted model, not a curated record. The transcript has 2 exons. Lineage: Eukaryota; Metazoa; Chordata; Mammalia; Monotremata; Tachyglossidae.